This 450-nucleotide ribosomal RNA is filed under the name uncultured bacterium. RNAcentral describes it as "partial 16S ribosomal RNA". It matches the Rfam family "Bacterial small subunit ribosomal RNA", at positions 354 to 796 of the family's 1533-position model. The record is from RNAcentral.
GUGGGGAAUCUUCCGCAAUGGACGAAAGUCUGACGGAGCGACGCCGCGUGAGUGAAGAAGGCCUUCGGGUCGUAAAGCUCUGUCAUCAGGGACGAACGGCCGGUGGAGUGGAAAGCCACCGGAUUGACGGUACCUGAGAAGGAAGCCACGGCUAACUACGUGCCAGCAGCCGCGGUAAUACGUAGGUGGCAAGCGUUGUCCGGAAUUAGUGGGCGUAAAGCGCGCGCAGGUGGGAUCUUAAGUCCAUUUUGAAAGUUCGGAGCUCAACUCCGUGAUGGGAUGGAAACUGGGAUUCUUGAGUACCGGAGAGGAAAGCGGAAUUCCCCGUGUAGCGGUGAAAUGCGUAGAUAUGGGGAGGAACACCAGUGGCGAAGGCGGCUUUCUGGACGGUGUCUGACACUGAGGCGCGAAAGCUAGGGGAGCGAACGGGAUUAGAAACCCGAGUAGUCC